GUGGGGAAUUUUGGACAAUGGGCGCAAGCCUGAUCCAGCAAUGCCGCGUGCAGGAAGAAGGCCUUCGGGUUGUAAACUGCUUUUGUACGGAACGAAACGGUCCGGGUUAAUACCCUGGGCUAAUGACGGUACCGUAAGAAUAAGCACCGGCUAACUACGUGCCAGCAGCCGCGGUAAUACGUAGGGUGCAAGCGUUAAUCGGAAUUACUGGGCGUAAAGCGUGCGCAGGCGGUUUUGUAAGACAGGCGUGAAAUCCCCGGGCUCAACCUGGGAAUUGCGCUUGUGACUGAAAGGCUGGAGUGCGGCAGAGGGGGAUGGAAUUCCGCGUGUAGCAGUGAAAUGCGUAGAUAUGUGGAGGAACACCGAUGGCGAAGGCAAUCCCCUGGGCCUGCACUGACGCUCAUGCACGAAAGCGUGGGGAGCAAACAGGAUUAGAAACCCCAGUAGUCC
This 450-nucleotide ribosomal RNA is filed under the name uncultured bacterium. Its description in RNAcentral is "partial 16S ribosomal RNA". It matches the Rfam family "Bacterial small subunit ribosomal RNA", at positions 354 to 796 of the family's 1533-position model. The record is from RNAcentral.